ACGGUUGACCUCGGAUCAGGUAGGAAUACCCGCUGAACUUAAGCAUAUCAAUAAGCGGAGG
RNAcentral lists this ribosomal RNA (61 nucleotides) under Verticillium dahliae. RNAcentral's name for it is "partial 28S ribosomal RNA". It matches the Rfam family "Eukaryotic large subunit ribosomal RNA", at positions 1 to 56 of the family's 3401-position model. The record is from RNAcentral. Lineage: Eukaryota; Fungi; Ascomycota; Sordariomycetes; Glomerellales; Plectosphaerellaceae.